GAUGAAGAACGCAGCGAAAUGCGAUACGUAAUGUGAAUUGCAAAUUCAGUGAAUCAUCGAGUCUUUGAACGCACAUUGCGCCCCCUGGCAUUCCGGGGGGCAUGCCUGUCCGAGCGUCAUUGCUGCCCUUCAAGCCCGGCUUGUGUGUUGGGUCGUCGUCCCCCCCGGGGGACGGGCCCGAAAGGCAGCGGCGGCACCGCGUCCGGCCCUCGAGCGUAUGGGGCUUUGUCACCCGCUCGAUUAGGGCCGGCCGGGCGCCAGCCGGCGUCUCCAACCUUCUAUUUUACCAGGUUGACCUCGGAUCAGGUAGGGAUACCCGCUGAACUUAAGCAUAUCAAUAAGCGGAGGA
Molecule: unclassified non-coding RNA, 349 nt
Filed under: soil metagenome
Description: partial contains 5.8S ribosomal RNA, internal transcribed spacer 2, and large subunit ribosomal RNA
Rfam family: 5.8S ribosomal RNA (bases 1-119)
Source: RNAcentral